CGAUGAUUGCUGAGUUGUCUGAACGGGUUGUUGAGUUGCUCGGCUUCUCGUCAACCAAACACUGCCUGCAGAUAACAAAGCUCCUAGAAGCAAUGUAGGUCCCAUUCUUGGGUCUGCUAGGUAAUCUUUGAUUCUGUUCCAUAAGCGCAAGAGUGCUUGUGUUGCUUUCACGCUUUUCGGGACUCCUGACCUCAUCGGUUCAGCACUUUCUGGAACAAGUUCUGGAGUUUUCGCUCUCUGCAAGUGAAAGUGAAAGAUCAAAAGAGAUAUGUUAUAAAGGAACAUGUAAAGAAUGGCAAAACAGUGGUUACUCACAUAGAAUGGUAGGUUUUUGCUGUCGCCAUCUUCAACCAUUUUAGAUAGCCACUUUAUAAUCUACAAAAGGUUAAACCAGGAAUGUAAACAAAAAGUCUAUACCAGAAACUAAUAAGAGUUUUUAUAGUAUUGUACCUCGGGAGUUUCAGCUGGUCCGUCAUAACUAACGACAAGUUGUGCAGCGGGAUCUACAUCGUCAGCUUCAGAUUCCCAAACAGUUUUGGGCCAGUUACUUGAUUUCUUAAAAAAAACAAAAAUGUAACAGAAGAUUCCUAAGGCUUAUAAUAUUAUUAGUCAGAAUCAGAACCUGAAGAUAGAAUCUGGACAGCAUCUUUAGGUUCGUUAUCAGUGAUCGAAGCAGGAGCCUCUUCACCCUUUGCAUUCCUCCUUCGUUGUUCUCUCUUUCUCUCUUUCUUCUUCUCCUCCUCCUCCGUCUGUAAACAAUCAUCAAUCUUUCUUUAUUAGGUUUAUGUCGAAAACGAGGCAUAUAUACACAUACAUUUAUAUAAAUCUAAUCAUUUUAUUACGUUAUUGUCUGACUGAUUCGUCGAUGAUUGCUGAGUUGUCUGAACGGGUUGUUGAGUUGCUCGGCUUCUCGUCCACCAAACACUGCCUGCAGAUAACAAAGCUCCUAGAAGCAAUGUAGGUCCCAUUCUUGGGUCUUCUAGGUAAUCUUUGAUUCUGUUCCAUAAGCGCAAGAGUGCUUGUGUUGCUUUCACGCUUUUCGGGACUCCUGACCUCAUCGGUUCAGUGCUUUCUGGAACAAGUUCUGGAGUUUUCGC
Molecule: long non-coding RNA, 1097 nt
Filed under: Brassica napus (rape)
Lineage: Eukaryota; Viridiplantae; Streptophyta; Magnoliopsida; Brassicales; Brassicaceae
Description: long non-coding RNA (BNAP_LNC008393)
Source: RNAcentral